AGUGAACGCUGGCGGUAGGCCUAACACACGCAAGUCGAACGGCAGCACAGUAAGAGCUUGCUCUUACGGGUGGCGAGUGGCGGACGGGUGAGGAAUACAUCGGAAUCUACUUUUUCGUGGGGGAUAACGUAGGGGAACUUACGCUAAUACCGCAUACGACCUACGGGUGAAAGCAGGGGAUCUUCGGACCUUGCGCGAUUGAAUGAGCCGAUGUCGGAUUAGCUAGUUGGCGGGGUAAAGGCCCACCAAGGCGACGAUCCGUAGCUGGUCUGAGAGGAUGAUCAGCCACACUGGAACUGAGACACGGUCCAGACUCCUACGGGAGGCAGCAGUGGGGAAUAUUGGACAAUGGGCGCAAGCCUGAUCCAGCCAUGCCGCGUGGGUGAAGAAGGCCUUCGGGUUGUAAAGCCCUUUUGUUGGGAAAGAAAAGCAGCAGGUUAAUACCCCGCUGUUCUGACGGUACCCAAAGAAUAAGCACCGGCUAACUUCGUG
Molecule: ribosomal RNA, 492 nt
Filed under: uncultured bacterium
Lineage: Bacteria
Description: partial 16S ribosomal RNA
Rfam family: Bacterial small subunit ribosomal RNA
Source: RNAcentral